RNAcentral lists this ribosomal RNA (465 nucleotides) under uncultured bacterium. RNAcentral's name for it is "partial 16S ribosomal RNA". It matches the Rfam family "Bacterial small subunit ribosomal RNA", at positions 28 to 507 of the family's 1533-position model. The record is from RNAcentral.
GACGAACGCUGGCGGCGUGCUUGACACAUGCAAGUCGUACGGUAAGGCCCUUUCGGGGGUACACGAGUGGCGAACGGGUGAGUAACACGUGAGUAACCUGCCCACAACUUUGGGAUAACGCUAGGAAACUGGUGCUAAUACUGGAUAUGUGCUCCUGCUGCAUGGUGGGGGUUGGAAAGCUCCGGCGGUUGUGGAUGGACUCGCGGCCUAUCAGCUUGUUGGUGGGGUAGUGGCCUACCAAGGCGGCGACGGGUAGCCGGCCUGAGAGGGUGACCGGCCACAUUGGGACUGAGAUACGGCCCAGACUCCUACGGGAGGCAGCAGUGGGGAAUAUUGCACAAUGGGCGCAAGCCUGAUGCAGCAACGCCGCGUGCGGGAUGACGGCCUUCGGGUUGUAAACCGCUUUCAGCAGGGACGAAGCUUUUUGUGACGGUACCUGCAGAAGAAGCACCGGCUAACUACGUG